CAGCAGUGUAACGGGUAGUAAAUGCAUCCUGACCUGCUAUGUAGUUUCUGUUUCUGAUUUUUGAUUUCCAUGAGGUGGCUGGGGUCCUGUUGGAGUCUGUGAUCUACAAAUGUGCUCAAACUGCGUUCUUCUUGGGUGAUCGGUUCCUACUCUCAGGAUUUGCCGAACGGCCUAGCAUUUUGGUAUCUCCAGAGGCUGCUUGGAAGACUUGUGCCUUUAGGGUGAAUCCCUGUGAAUAACCCAAUUCUUUGUCGUUGUUACCAACUGAAGCAUUGUGGGAGAUCGGAACAUGGAGACAGCUGAUGCAGCUGUUGGGGGUUUCUGCACUCGAGCGACUUUUCUCUCUCUCCCUCCCAGUCUCCAGGGUUCUGAGCCGGGAGAACUGAAAUAAGUGACGCCACAGAUUGUAACAUCGAAACAGCGAGCUGUUGUCCUCCCCUCUCGCUGUGGCAGGAGCAACAUCUCUUUCUCCCUUGCUAGUGUGGCAACUGUUUGAGUCGUCGAAGUGUUGGGAUAGACGGUAGCUUUUUGGUGGACUCUACAUCACGGUCUCUUUGGAGGAUCUGCUAUUGCUGGCAUGAUGGGUGGUGGGUGUGGACUGCUGCUUCCUGCUGGGGGAGGGAGAGGGAAGAGGGAGGAGGGAGGAGGGUUGAUGCUUUUGCCGCCGUUUGUGCAUGGAAGUGGGGAGAGGUGCUUUGGGGUUCUAAUGUUUCUCUGUCACUCAUUCUUUGUUUUUUUUAACUGUCUGUUUCAUGAAUGCCUGUGAAGAGUAAGGCUUUCAGGUAUACAUUCACUGAUAUUAAAUUGAACCAUCGAAAAUUGGUGAAUCAAUCGAUAACUUUGUAAAAUUCAUAAAAGUGGCAAAAUCAAUUUACUUAUCUUUUAUUCAAAACAGAGAGGGAAGAGAAUUGAAAAUAUAAUAUGGGCUGUGACAAGUGUUAUUCAUGGCUGUCACCUCUUUAAGCCAUGUUGAUGGGUUAAAGAGGGUGAUGUCAAUAACUGCUCUCUGUAACAAUGUUGAUGGGCUGUUCCAGAGUGGUCGGUGAAGAGCCAUUGAAUAAAUCAUGUAUAUUUUGAUUUGGCUUCCUGUGUCUGGUGAAUAUAAGUCUGUAUUUUCUGCAGCUGACUUAGUUAGGGCUGAAGAUUUUACUCUGCAACACACACACAAUGCUGGAGGAACUCAGAAAGCCAGGCGGCAUCUAUGGAAAGGAGUAACAGCUGCUGUUUCCGGCUCAGAGCCUGCAUCAGGAUUCGUCAUUUAGCUUGAGAUUCAUUUUCUUGCAGGCACUAACAGGAAAAUAAAGAAAUACAAUAGAGUUUACGAGAACUAUAAACUGACAAGCAAUGAAUGUGCAAAAGACAGAUCGUGCAAAUAAAACUUCAGUAAAUAAAUAAUACUGAGAAAGUGAAUUGUCGCGUCCUUGAAAGUGAGUCUGUAGGUUGUGGUCCGGUCACAAACAAGAGAAAGUCUGCAGAUGUUGGAAAUCCAAGCAACACACACAAAAUGCUGAAGGAAACACUUUUCUAUGGACGUUGCCUGGCCUGGUGAGUUCCUCCAGCAUCUGGAGUGGGAUCAGUUCAGAGUGGAGGAGAUUGAAGUAAUUCAUGUUGGAUCAGCAGCGUGAUGGCUGCAGGGUAAUAAUGGUUCCUGAACCUGGUGAUGUGGGAUCCAAGGCUCCUGUAACUCCAGUGCCACGUUAGAAGCGAGAAGAGUAGACGUGCUCAGUGGUGGACAGGGCUUUCCAUGUAAUGGAUGGGGCUGCACCGACCACAUUCUGCUGACUUCUCCAUUCCUGA
Molecule: long non-coding RNA, 1797 nt
Organism: Mobula hypostoma (lesser devil ray)
Lineage: Eukaryota; Metazoa; Chordata; Chondrichthyes; Myliobatiformes; Myliobatidae
Exons: 3
Source: RefSeq, a predicted model, not a curated record